CAAAUCCCCUCUUUCUUACGAUGGAAGAUGGCGAGACCUUGGUCUCGGCAUCUUUUAGCGUGAUUAAUGAGGAAGACAUUUGCAUGGGGAGCGGGGGCGCGUCUAGCGCUGCCGAGGCCCUGAUGUAGACGCUUGCGAGUUUGACGGGUACAGGGAGAACAGCAAAGAGA
RNAcentral lists this unclassified non-coding RNA (170 nucleotides) under uncultured fungus. Its description in RNAcentral is "sequence contains ITS1, 5.8S rRNA gene". Lineage: Eukaryota; Fungi. The record is from RNAcentral.